AGAUACCAGGGGAUAAAGUUCAAAACCCCGACGCAAGCUUGCUUGCAGGAGGGAUUUUGAAUUUUAGACCCGCCAAAACCAUGAAUAAGGAGCCGUUUUCGCAGAAAACGAGCGGAUUAUGAAUGGUUUUGCAGGAUUGCGGGAGUGCGGAGCACGGAGCAAUCCGGGAUCC
Small RNA from Lachnoclostridium sp. An14, 172 nucleotides. It matches the Rfam family "Clostridiales-1 RNA". The record is from Rfam. NCBI's taxonomy places the organism in Bacteria, Bacillati, Bacillota, Clostridia, Lachnospirales, Lachnospiraceae.